RNAcentral lists this unclassified non-coding RNA (354 nucleotides) under soil metagenome. RNAcentral's name for it is "partial contains 5.8S ribosomal RNA, internal transcribed spacer 2, and large subunit ribosomal RNA". The stretch from base 1 to 120 matches the Rfam family "5.8S ribosomal RNA", at positions 35 to 154 of the family's 154-position model. The record is from RNAcentral.
GAUGAAGAACGCAGUGAAACGCGAUAUGUAAUGUGAAUUGCAGAAUUCAGUGAAUCAUCGAAUCUUUGAACGCACAUGGCGCCUUCCAGUAUCCUGGGAGGCAUGCCUGUCCGAGCGUCGUUUCAACCCUCGAGCCCCCGUGGCCCGGCGUUGGGGAUCUGCCCAGGCAGUCCCCGAAAACCAGUGGCGGACCCGUUACACGCCCUUCCCUUGCGUAGUAGCAUUCGCCUCGCAUCGGGAGCCGGCGGGCUUCCAGCCUCUAAACCCCCAUCAAGUCCGCCCCGGCGGCACCAAGGUUGACCUCGGAUCAGGUAGGAAUACCCGCUGAACUUAAGCAUAUCAAUAAGCGGAGGA